RNAcentral lists this ribosomal RNA (500 nucleotides) under uncultured bacterium. RNAcentral's name for it is "bacterial SSU rRNA". It matches the Rfam family "Bacterial small subunit ribosomal RNA", at positions 28 to 521 of the family's 1533-position model. The record is from RNAcentral.
GACGAACGCUGGCGGCGUGCCUAACACAUGCAAGUCGAACGCGAAAGUCCCGCAAGGGGCAAGUAGAGUGGCGCACGGGUGAGUAACACGUGGAUAACCUGCCUUCGAGUGAGGAAUAACCUUCCGAAAGGAGGGCUAAUACCGCAUAACACCUUGAGACAAAAGUUUACGAGGUUAAAAGGAAGCAAUUCGCUGGAAGAGGGGUCCGCGCCUGAUUAGCUAGUUGGUAGGGUAAUGGCUCACCAAGGCUUCGAUCUGUAGCUGGUCUGAGAGGACGGCCAGCCACACUGGCACUGACACACGGGCCAGACUCCUACGGGAGGCAGCAGUGGGGAAUUUUGGCAAUGGGCGAAAGCCUGACCCAGCAACGCCGCGUGAGGGAGGAAAUCCUUCGGGAUGUAAACCUCACAAGCAAGGGAAGAGAGCUCAGGGCCGAAUAAGCUUUGAGUCCGACGGUACCUUGCGUAAGCCACGGCUAACUACGUGCCAGCAGCCGCCGU